Molecule: ribosomal RNA, 514 nt
Filed under: uncultured Chlamydomonas
Lineage: Eukaryota; Viridiplantae; Chlorophyta; Chlorophyceae; Chlamydomonadales; Chlamydomonadaceae
Description: partial Eukaryotic large subunit ribosomal RNA
Rfam family: Eukaryotic large subunit ribosomal RNA
Source: RNAcentral
ACUGAAGUGGAGAAAGGUUCCAUGGUAACAGCAGUUGGACAUGGGUGAGCCGAUCCUAAGAGAUAGGGUAGUUCCGUAUGAAAGUGCGCGAUUCUUCGCGCCGCCUAUCGAAAGGGAAGCCGGUUAAAAUUCCGGCGCCAGGAUGUGGAUGAUAGACGGCAACGUAAACGAACCAGGAGACGUCGGCGAGGGCCCUGGAAAGAGUUAUCUUUUCUUUCUUACAGUCUGUCACCCUGAAAUCGAUUUGUUCGGAGAUAGGGUUCCAUGGCUGGUAGAGCUCGGCACUUCUGCCGAGUCCGGUGCGUCCUCGACGGCCCUUGAAAAUCCUGGGGAGCAAACAUUUCACGCCUGGUCGUACUGAUAACCGCAGCAGGUCUCCUAGGUUAACAGCCUCUAGUUGAUAGAAUAAUGUGGAUAAGGGAAUUCGGCAAAAUGGAUCCGUAACUUCGGGAUAAGGAUUGGCUCUAAGGGUUGGGUAUAUCGGGCCCUGGCGGGAAGCCGCUGAUGCUGGACU